UUGGCCGUGGGGCCUUGGUUCCAGCAGCUGCUGAAUAAACAGCCACCUCCGUUUGUGAAGGGUGAGCUCACAGCGAUGCCACGCGGCUGAAGUUUCUAUUAAGUCACGAGGGCACUUAUCAGGAGGAAAGGUAGCGGCAGGUCUGUUAGUUAAUGGGCACGGGACCCCGGGUGGUCAAAAGGGGACCACGGUGUGAGCUGCUGCACGCUGCGAUAUCCUGCAGAUGCCUCCAAAAUGACAGCUGGCGGGGCGAAUGGUCCGGCGUGCAAACAUUCAAGAACAUUCUCAAAAAGAUGACUUGCGUAUCUGCGGCAAUCUUAGCCGGCGCUUCAUGCCCAAGUGGACGAGUCAGUUAUGUUAAAUCGACUGCUCCCAGACAAAUUAUUCCUCUGAGCCUUAAGUCUUGGCGCAGUGGGAGGAUGCAGGAUGUGCGGUCAUGCUGACGCCAGGUUUGAGGCUCCAUCAGCGGGGAACGGCCCCCUUGGAAAAGGACACAAUGUGUCCAACUACCUCGAUGCGAAUGAAACAAAACUCGCCUGGAGAAGACGGGAAUCCAUGAACGAGUCAUUCUACUCUCGGACGAUUGCAGCAGACACAAGAGCACAACGAGGGACACUCCUCUCUAACUGUCUCUGCAGUGUUGUUCAAAUAUAUGGAUACAAGUGGGAUUGUGUUCUUUCUUUGAGUGGAAUUAUACCAAAUAGACCACCACUUGUUG
Gasterosteus aculeatus aculeatus (three-spined stickleback) is the source of this 718-nucleotide long non-coding RNA. The record is from Ensembl. Lineage: Eukaryota; Metazoa; Chordata; Actinopteri; Perciformes; Gasterosteidae.